CUUACCGGGUCCGGACACACUGAGGAUUGACAGGUGUUAUCCCACAUAAUCAGUGGGUGUUAAAUAUGCUAGUCCUUUCAUGAUUAUGUGAUAGGUGGUGCAUGGCCGUUCUUAGUUUGUGGAGUGAUCUGUCUGCUUAAUUGCGUUUCACUGAAGGCUCAUAUUAUAUGCACGGCAUUCUUUGACCCCUCAUUAAUAAUGAGCGUUGUGUCUUAGUCUUUUGCUUAGCAUCUGGGCCUUGGAAGCAACGAACGUGACCGCAACCUCUUGUUGCCUCUCAUAACCAUAUAAAAGAGGCCUAUUUAAAUAAACUAGAGGGACCGCUGUUACUUUCUUAAACCAGAGGAAGGUUGCGGCAAUAACAGGUCUGUGAUGCCCUUAGAUGUUCCGGGCUGCACACGUGCUACAAUGAUUAUUGCAGUGAGCAUCUCAUACACAUACACACCGCAUGCGCGAGUCCACUUUUUCACGAAGGUGUGUGUCUCUGCGCGCGGUAAAGCCUGCUUCGAAAGUAAGUGGGUAAUCAAUUAGAAGUAAUGAUUUCCAUACAGCACACAUAUAUACGGCAUCUUUACCCGGCCUGCCUUGUUGCAGGUUUCUUGUGUGUAUUGAUGUUUUUUCCGUAUGUGCGAUUGUCAAUUCAUGGUGGGGACAGACCAUUGUUAAUUGUUGGUCUCGGUCUUAACUAGGAAUGCCUUGUACGGUCUUUGGUUCAACAAACCACCCGGAAUACGUCCCUGCCCUUUGUACACACCGCCCGUCGCUCUUACCGAUGGACUUCUCUGUGAGUUUGAGGGACUGGGAACGCAUAUCUCUAUAUGCACACCUAUGGAAACUUAAACGAACAGUGUGGUCUAAAGGAAAGAGAAGUCGUAACAAGGCAUCGGUAGGUGAACC
RNAcentral lists this ribosomal RNA (897 nucleotides) under Baculogypsina sphaerulata. Its description in RNAcentral is "bacterial SSU rRNA". It matches the Rfam family "Eukaryotic small subunit ribosomal RNA", at positions 1214 to 1815 of the family's 1831-position model. Lineage: Eukaryota; Foraminifera; Rotaliida; Calcarinidae. The record is from RNAcentral.